GUGGUCGUAGCUCAGUUGGUAGAGCCCCAGAUUGUGAUUCUGGUUGUCGUGGGUUCGAGCCCCAUCGACCACCCCA
Molecule: transfer RNA, 76 nt
Filed under: Betaproteobacteria bacterium
Lineage: Bacteria; Pseudomonadati; Pseudomonadota; Betaproteobacteria
Also listed under: 2 other names
Description: tRNA-His
Rfam family: tRNA
About the family: Transfer RNA (tRNA) molecules are approximately 80 nucleotides in length. Their secondary structure includes four short double-helical elements and three loops (D, anti-codon, and T loops).
Source: RNAcentral